UCGUCACAGCUCAUUUUUGCGACAGGUGUAACAGCUAUGUAAUAAAAUUCCUUGCGGCGGUGAAACGAGACGGGUUCACCACGAAAAAUGUUGAGACUGCUUUCUGACUAGACGCCAACCUUAUUAUUAUGCUGAUGUCGUCAUUUCAUUUUUCGAGCAUUUCGUGGAAAUAUCAUGCUAUUAAGUGACCGACAAAGAACUUGUCCCGACUACCAGUUGACAUGAAUAAUUCAAGUCGAAAGAAACCUUUGGGAUUGACGGAAUGAAAAUAUGGACAAACAAAAUUAGACCAGAAAGAAACAAAACAAAAACAAAACA
Molecule: long non-coding RNA, 318 nt
Organism: Daphnia pulex (common water flea)
Lineage: Eukaryota; Metazoa; Arthropoda; Branchiopoda; Diplostraca; Daphniidae
Exons: 2
Source: RefSeq, a predicted model, not a curated record